Molecule: long non-coding RNA, 1307 nt
Organism: Mauremys reevesii (Reeves's turtle)
Lineage: Eukaryota; Metazoa; Chordata; Testudines; Geoemydidae
Exons: 6
Source: RefSeq, a predicted model, not a curated record
CCAGAAGGUCUGUUGGUUUACUGGAAAGUUGGGCAGUUUCUUGUUUGUGAACAAGUUUGUGCUGCAGGAGCUAUCUCAGGUGCAUGACAUUUAUUACAGGCAGCGUCUAGUCGGUGAGCUUGGUACUUCAAAAUGAAAGUUUACAUCAGAAUUGUACAAUGCUUGUAUACUUCAGUGAACAGCCAAUGAGAGCUGAAGGGGUGGCACCUGUGGAUGGGGCAGCGCACUGAGCUGCCUGGCCAUGCCUCUAUAUAGGAGCCAGAGGGGGGACAUGCCAUUGCUUCUGGGAGAUGCGUGAGGGUCCGUGAUCGCACGGGGACUACAAAGCUGGACACAAAUCAGAAGUAGAAAAUUCAUCAUUAUCUGGUGUUCAUAAGGGAAUCCCAAUGGAAAUGAAGGAGGAGAAAAACCUCCUCUGCUCUGCUUGCUCUGAGACUGGGUAAGAGAAUAACAGAAGACCAAGAGGAGAGAGAUGAAGUAUCUGCACGCAAGAGGCUGAAAAUGUAUGUUCCUAUGCUAUUGCUAGUGUAAACAGAACAGCCCACAGAAGGACCACACACUAAAGCCUUGAUGCUGAAGGAUUUUUAUGUUUAUCUUUUCUUUUAAUAGAGCAGCCUAAUGACUGAAUUACAGGAGGAUAGUAUCUUUCAAAAUUAAGACUGAAGGGCCUCAGGAUAUUGGGCUAAAGCCCCAGAUUGAAAAACUGUUAAAUUUUUAGGGACAGAUCUUCCCUGUCACAUGCCAGCUGAUCUUCCCUGGGGGAGGCGUGGGAGUUUCAGACUCUGAACCCAGAUCCAAGUUAAAGUUUAGCAGCUAGAUCUUCUCGCCAUAAUGAGCCAAACCACAGAAAAUACAGAGAUAUUAAUCAUAAUCUGCAUCUGACUUUUGCAGCUCAGACCCAUCUCUAACGAGGAACAGAUGUAAAAGAAAUAGGAAUUGACUGUUAACAAAGCAACAAUAUACAUUUCCUAGUCUUUGUGUUACCUGCUGUCAUGAAGCUAUCACGGCCUGCCAGAGACCCAUAAAAGAACUCGGAGACCUGAUCCUUUUUUCAUCUCAAGUCUGUUUGAGUUUUACCAGAGGAAGUUUGAGUCACAAGUCUGAGAUCUUCGGUUCCAGUCUAGAUUAUUUCUCAUGGAAGAAUUUAAAUAGACUCUGCAUCUUCUUUUGCUCUCGGACUCCUGUGAUGGACUGCCUAUCGAACUGUAACCUAUGGAAUUGAUUCUGGAAAAGCUUUCUACAAAUCAGCAGCUCACUAGCUCUACUGUGUAACUGACCUAAGAACUUUAUGCAUAGCUGCACGUAUA